UACGAAGGGGGCUAGCGUUGCUCGGAAUCACUGGGCGUAAAGGGUGCGUAGGCGGCUCUUUAAGUCAGGGGUGAAAUCCCGAGGCUCAACCUCGGAAUUGCCCUUGAUACUGGGGAUCUCGAGUCCGGAAGAGGUUGGUGGAACUCCGAGUGUAGAGGUGAAAUUCGUAGAUAUUCGGAAGAACACCAGUGGCGAAGGCGGCCAACUGGGCCGGCACUGACGCUGAGGUGCGAAAGCGUGGGGAGCAAACAGG
Molecule: ribosomal RNA, 253 nt
Filed under: uncultured bacterium
Lineage: Bacteria
Description: partial 16S ribosomal RNA
Rfam family: Bacterial small subunit ribosomal RNA
Source: RNAcentral